CAGGGUCGGCUGCCAGGAUGGC
This 22-nucleotide microRNA is filed under the name Anolis carolinensis (green anole). Its description in RNAcentral is "aca-miR-5424". Lineage: Eukaryota; Metazoa; Chordata; Lepidosauria; Squamata; Anolidae. The record is from miRBase by way of RNAcentral.